RNAcentral lists this ribosomal RNA (254 nucleotides) under uncultured bacterium. RNAcentral describes it as "partial 16S ribosomal RNA". It matches the Rfam family "Bacterial small subunit ribosomal RNA", at positions 524 to 777 of the family's 1533-position model. The record is from RNAcentral.
UACGAAGGGGGCUAGCGUUGCUCGGAAUCACUGGACGUAAAGGGUGCGUAGGCGGGUCUUUAAGUCAGGGGUGAAAUCCUGGAGCUCAACUCCAGAACUGCCUUUGAUACUGAGGAUCUUGAGUUCGGGAGAGGUGAGUGGAACUGCGAGUGUAGAGGUGAAAUUCGUAGAUAUUCGCAAGAACACCAGUGGCGAAGGCGGCUCACUGGCCCGAUACUGACGCUGAGGCACGAAAGCGUGGGGAGCAAACAGGG